Molecule: non-coding RNA, 492 nt
Organism: Schizosaccharomyces pombe (fission yeast)
Lineage: Eukaryota; Fungi; Ascomycota; Schizosaccharomycetes; Schizosaccharomycetales; Schizosaccharomycetaceae
Source: the annotation of a GenBank genome assembly
UCAAAAUAGUCUUGCGUCAGCUUGAAAAUAAUGUUGGUAUCAUCUCUAAAACGGAGAAAUCCAUAAGAGUGCUUUUAAUAAUAAGAUUAGCGCUAUUGUAUGGGGCCUUUAGAUUCUUAAAGGUGUGUCUCUCCAUUAAAAACUCCGUAGCCAUACAAGUUUGAUCCUCACUUUCACCAAUUGAAUCUCAUUCCAAUUUCUAGAGCGGUUCAUAUCAUACAGUGUAAGCUAGAACCAGCGAUCUAAAAAAAAGAGGAUAAGAGUGAAUUGAUGAAAUCAAUUGAAGAUCCAAAACUUUAUUGUUCGCAGCGUUGGAGCGACCAAAAAGCGAACUUUCACAAUUUGAACCAUUCCAUGUGCGAAAAAAACAGCAUUAUGAAUUAAUUUCGUUCCACUCAACCCUUUUACCAUAGCAUCAUUCGCAAAGACGUGAAUGGAAAAAAUAAUAUUAGACGUCUACAAAUUGGCAAAAGGACAUUGCAGGUCAUCAAU